GAUUUCUGGCCUGAAACAUUUUGCCGGCCACGGUUUCGUGUGUUAGUGCUUGAUGUUCUGGCCAUCCUUCCAAUCGCUAUUCACCUUUCUUCAUUGAUUGGUGAGUGGUAUUGGAUCUUUUACUUUGAAAAAAUUAGAGUGUUUCAAGCAGGCUUUAUGCUAUGAAUACAUUAGCAUGGAAUAAUAAUUUAGGACUUCGGUUCUAUUUUGUUGGUUUCUAGGACUGAAGUAAUGAUUGAUAGGGAUAGUUGGGGGUGCUAGUAUUCAGAGGCCAGAGGUGAAAUUCUUGGAUUCUCUGAAGACUCACUUAGGCGAAAGCAUU
RNAcentral lists this ribosomal RNA (322 nucleotides) under Sandonidae sp. RNAcentral describes it as "SSU rRNA". The stretch from base 62 to 322 matches the Rfam family "Eukaryotic small subunit ribosomal RNA", at positions 694 to 955 of the family's 1831-position model. Lineage: Eukaryota; Cercozoa; Glissomonadida; Sandonidae. The record is from RNAcentral.